RNAcentral lists this ribosomal RNA (454 nucleotides) under uncultured bacterium. RNAcentral describes it as "bacterial SSU rRNA". It matches the Rfam family "Bacterial small subunit ribosomal RNA", at positions 28 to 496 of the family's 1533-position model. The record is from RNAcentral.
GACGAACGCUGGCGGCGUGCUUAACACAUGCAAGUCGAGCGGUAAGGCCCUUUCGGGGGUACACGAGCGGCGAACGGGUGAGUAACACGUGGGUGACCUGCCCUCAGCUCUGGGAUAAGCCUGGGAAACCGGGUCUAAUACCGGAUAUGACUCCAUGACGCAUGUUGUGGGGUGGAAAGCCUUGUGCGGCUGAGGAUGGGCCCGCGGCCUAUCAGCUUGUUGGUGGGGUGAUGGCCUACCAAGGCGACGACGGGUAGCCGGCCUGAGAGGGCGACCGGCCACACUGGGACUGAGACACGGCCCAGACUCCUACGGGAGGCAGCAGUGGGGAAUCUUGCGCAAUGGGCGAAAGCCUGACGCAGCGACGCCGCGUGAGGGAUGACGGCCCUCGGGUUGUAAACCUCUUUCAGCUCCGACGAAGCGAGAGUGACGGUAGGAGCAGAAGAAGCACCGG